AAGAGCUUGCUCUUAUGAAGUUAGCGGCGGACGGGUGAGUAACACGUGGGUAACCUGCCCAUAAGACUGGGAUAACUCCGGGAAACCGGGGCUAAUACCGGAUAACAUUUUGAACCGCAUGGUUCGAAAUUGAAAGGCGGCUUCGGCUGUCACUUAUGGAUGGACCCGCGUCGCAUUAGCUAGUUGGUGAGGUAACGGCUCACCAAGGCAACGAUGCGUAGCCGACCUGAGAGGGUGAUCGGCCACACUGGGACUGAGACACGGCCCAGACUCCUACGGGAGGCAGCAGUAGGGAAUCUUCCGCAAUGGACGAAAGUCUGACGGAGCAACGCCGCGUGAGUGAUGAAGGCUUUCGGGUCGUAAAACUCUGUUGUUAGGGAAGAACAAGUGCUAGUUGAAUAAGCUGGCACCUUGACGGUACCUAACCAGAAAGCCACGGCUAACUACGUGCCAGCAGCCGCGGUAAUACGUAGGUGGCAAGCGUUAUCCGGAAUUAUUGGGCGUAAAGCGCGCGCAGGUGGUUUCUUAAGUCUGAUGUGAAAGCCCACGGCUCAACCGUGGAGGGUCAUUGGAAACUGGGAGACUUGAGUGCAGAAGAGGAAAGUGGAAUUCCAUGUGUAGCGGUGAAAUGCGUAGAGAUAUGGAGGAACACCAGUGGCGAAGGCGACUUUCUGGUCUGUAACUGACACUGAGGCGCGAAAGCGUGAGGAGCAAACAGGAUUAGAUACCCUGGUAGUCCACGCCGUAAACGAUGAGUGCUAAGUGUUAGAGGGUUUCCGCCCUUUAGUGCUGAAGUUAACGCAUUAAGCACUCCGCCUGAGGAGUACGGCCGCAAGGCUGAAACUCAAAGGAAUUGACGGGGGCCCGCACAAGCGGUGGAACA
RNAcentral lists this ribosomal RNA (883 nucleotides) under Bacillus sp. (in: firmicutes). RNAcentral's name for it is "bacterial SSU rRNA". It matches the Rfam family "Bacterial small subunit ribosomal RNA", at positions 74 to 939 of the family's 1533-position model. Lineage: Bacteria; Bacillati; Bacillota; Bacilli; Caryophanales; Bacillaceae. The record is from RNAcentral.